UUGAACUCUGUAUUUAGAAAGAUGUUUUUCUAAUCACAGAAUAAAUUACGAAAUAUUCUUUUAAUCACAUACCACAGAAUAAAUUACGAAAUAUUUCUAUCCCAAAGAUCUUUUUCUAAUCACAUAAUAAAUUACGAAAUAUUCUCUUAAUCACAUACCACAGAAUAAAUUACAAAAUAUUUCUGUCCAAAAGAUCUUUUUCUAAUCAAGGAAUAAAUUACGAAAUAUUUUCUUAAUCACAUACCACAGAAUAAAUUACGAAAUAUUUCUAUCCCAAAGAUCUUUUUCUAAUCACAGAAUAAAUUACGAAAUAUUCUCUUAAUCACAUACCACAGAAUAAAUUAUGAAAUAUUCUCUUAAUCACAUACCACAAAAUAAAUUACGAAAUAUUUCUAUCCCAAGGAUCAUUUUCUAAUCACAGAAUAAAUUACAAAAUAUUCUCUUAAUCACAUACCACAGAAUAAAUUACGAAAUAUUCUUUUAAUCACAUACCACAUAAUAAAUUAUGAAAUAUUUCUAUUCCAAAGAUCUUUUUCUAAUCACAGAAUAAAUUACGAAAUAUUCUUUUAAUCACAUACCACAGAAUAAAUUACAAAAUACUCUCUUAAUCACAUACCACAGAAUAAAUUAUGAAAUAUUUCUAUAAUAAAUUAUAAAAAAAAGUAAUAUAUGGCAAAAAUAACAAGUCUCUCGCUAGUCGCGCUCUCUUUUGCUCCCCUCCCUUCCCAUCUCUCUCCAUCUCCUCGCUUCCCGCGCUCUCCCCUCCCCUCCCCGAGCUCUCUCUCCUUCCCC
RNAcentral lists this long non-coding RNA (792 nucleotides) under Ananas comosus (pineapple). RNAcentral's name for it is "long non-coding RNA (ACOM_LNC014298)". Lineage: Eukaryota; Viridiplantae; Streptophyta; Magnoliopsida; Poales; Bromeliaceae. The record is from RNAcentral.